Molecule: ribosomal RNA, 303 nt
Filed under: Streptococcus pneumoniae
Lineage: Bacteria; Bacillati; Bacillota; Bacilli; Lactobacillales; Streptococcaceae
Description: partial 23S ribosomal RNA
Rfam family: Bacterial large subunit ribosomal RNA
Source: RNAcentral
GGUCAAGUGAAGAAGCGCAUACGGUGGAUGCCUUGGCAGUCAGAGGCGAUGAAAGACGUGGUAGCCUGCGAUAAGCUUUGGGGAGUCGGCAAACAGACUGUGAUCCAGAGAUCUCUGAAUGGGGAAACCCACUCAGCAUAAGCUGAGUAUCUUGUACUGAAUACAUAGGUGCAAGAGGCGAACCAGGGGAACUGAAACAUCUAAGUACCCUGAGGAAAAGAAAUCAACCGAGAUUCCCUUAGUAGUGGCGAGCGAACGGGGACCAGCCCUUAAGUUGAUUUGAGAUUAGUGGAACGCUCUGGA